Osmerus eperlanus (European smelt) is the source of this 340-nucleotide long non-coding RNA. RefSeq lists it as uncharacterized. The record is from RefSeq and is a predicted model, not a curated record. Lineage: Eukaryota; Metazoa; Chordata; Actinopteri; Osmeriformes; Osmeridae. The transcript is spliced from 3 exons.
UGUCAAAGCUUGGGACAGUGAAACAGUGAAAGAGAGAAUAAGGCAGGCAUUCAAAGGAAAGAUUCCAGCUGAUGUCAGCAUGCAAUUCCUUAUGGCUUGUGGCAAUAAACUGGUUGUCCCAACGCUAACUGAAGGACAGGAGCUCAACGGGAGUAUGAUACAAAAAGUGUACAGAUUGAAGGCUCUGUACAUCAGGCCAUCAAGACCUAUUGAACUUGAAGAUUCAGAUGUGGAUUGCAUUCCAGUUGAUGACAUGAGUGAAGAAGAAAAUGUCAAUAACAUGCAAAACCUGAUAUUGAUGCCGUAUCACCAGUGAUGGACAAUCACAAGCCUUCUACUU